This 467-nucleotide ribosomal RNA is filed under the name uncultured Glomus. Its description in RNAcentral is "SSU rRNA". It matches the Rfam family "Eukaryotic small subunit ribosomal RNA", at positions 569 to 1040 of the family's 1831-position model. Lineage: Eukaryota; Fungi; Glomeromycota; Glomeromycetes; Glomerales; Glomeraceae. The record is from RNAcentral.
AGCAGCCGCGGUAAUUCCAGCUCCAAUAGCGUAUAUUAAAGUUGUUGCAGUUAAAAAGCUCGUAGUUGAAUUUCGGAAUCAGUACGCUGGUCGUGCCUCCGGUAUGUACUGGUGUCACUGAUUCCUCCCUUCUGACGAACCAUAAUGCCAUUCACUUGGUGUGGUGGGAAAUCAGGACUGUUACUUUGAAAAAUUAGAGUGUUUAAAGCAGGCUCACGCUUGAAUACAUUAGCAUGGAAUAAUGAAAUAGGACGUUGAUCCUAUUUUGUUGGUUUUUAGGAUUGACGUAAUGAUUAAUAGGGAUAGUUGGGGGCAUUAGUAUUCAAUUGUCAGAGGUGAAAUUCUUGGAUUUAUUGAAGACUAACUACUGCGAAAGCAUUUGCCAAGGAUGUUUUCAUUAAUCAAGAACGAAAGUUAGGGGAUCGAAGACGAUCAGAUACCGUCCGUAGUCUUAACCAUAAAACUAU